RNAcentral lists this ribosomal RNA (708 nucleotides) under Salmonella enterica subsp. enterica serovar Poona. RNAcentral describes it as "partial 23S ribosomal RNA". The stretch from base 89 to 708 matches the Rfam family "Bacterial large subunit ribosomal RNA", at positions 568 to 1190 of the family's 2925-position model. The record is from RNAcentral. Lineage: Bacteria; Pseudomonadati; Pseudomonadota; Gammaproteobacteria; Enterobacterales; Enterobacteriaceae.
CCACCACUAAGCCAGUGGUGAACUCCACAUACGCAUCCUUUGCUGAGGAUACGGUUAACGGAGCGAAAGCGACGUUCAACCUCAAAAGAAGCAGAGGGGGCUUAGUGGUGGGGUGACUGCGUACCUUUUGUAUAAUGGGUCAGCGACUUAUAUUCUGUAGCAAGGUUAACCGUAUAGGGGAGCCGCAGGGAAACCGAGUCUUAACCGGGCGUUAAGUUGCAGGGUAUAGACCCGAAACCCGGUGAUCUAGCCAUGGGCAGGUUGAAGGUUGGGUAACACUAACUGGAGGACCGAACCGACUAAUGUUGAAAAAUUAGCGGAUGACCUGUGGCUGGGGGUGAAAGGCCAAUCAAACCGGGAGAUAGCUGGUUCUCCCCGAAAGCUAUUUAGGUAGCGCCUCGUGAACUCAUCUCCGGGGGUAGAGCACUGUUUCGGCUAGGGGGCCAUCCCGGCUUACCAACCCGAUGCAAACUGCGAAUACCGGAGAAUGUUAUCACGGGAGACACACGGCGGGUGCUAACGUCCGUCGUGAAGAGGGAAACAACCCAGACCGCCAGCUAAGGUCCCAAAGUCAUGGUUAAGUGGGAAACGAUGUGGGAAGGCCCAGACAGCCAGGAUGUUGGCUUAGAAGCAGCCAUCAUUUAAAGAAAGCGUAAUAGCUCACUGGUCGAGUCGGCCUGCGCGGAAGAUGUAACGGGGCUAAACCAU